This 207-nucleotide ribosomal RNA is filed under the name uncultured bacterium. RNAcentral's name for it is "partial 16S ribosomal RNA". It matches the Rfam family "Bacterial small subunit ribosomal RNA", at positions 568 to 774 of the family's 1533-position model. The record is from RNAcentral.
CGCGUAGGCGGUCUUCUAUGUCAGGUGUGAAAGCCCGGGGCUCAACCCCGGAAGUGCAUUUGAAACUGGGAGACUUGAGUAUGGGAGAGGGAAGUGGAAUUCCUGGUGUAGCGGUGAAAUGCGUAGAUAUCAGGAGGAACACCGGUGGCGAAGGCGACCACCUGGACGAUGACUGACGCUGAGGCGCGAAAGCGUGGGGAGCAAACA